RNAcentral lists this unclassified non-coding RNA (250 nucleotides) under Bombus terrestris (buff-tailed bumblebee). RNAcentral's name for it is "misc RNA ENSBTSG00005036461.1". Lineage: Eukaryota; Metazoa; Arthropoda; Insecta; Hymenoptera; Apidae. The record is from RNAcentral.
UCAGUUUGCUGGUGAGUGCCGAAGCGUGCAGACGUGUAUCCAGUGCCCUGUGAAGUUCACAAAACAACACGUGACGCCCAUCUGUCGAAAGCGAAUCCAACAAACCUAACAAUCACUCCUGCUCGGGCAGCCGAGGAGGACGGACGUGUCUAGACGGUCGUCCUCUUCAGGUAUAAGUGAAUAGGGAAAAAGUGCUUCAAAGUAAUAGUGCUGUAAAGUGAUAGUGAGGAGGAAAUAAAAGAGCAAUGCA